CAGGACGAACGCUGGCGGCGUGCUUAACACAUGCAAGUCGAGCGGUAAGGCCCUUUCGGGGGUACGCGAGCGGCGAACGGGUGAGUAACACGUGGGUGACCUGCCCUUAGCUCUGGGAUAAGCCUGGGAAACUGGGUCUAAUACCGGAUAUGACUCCAUGACGCAUGUUGUGGGGUGGAAAGCCUUGUGCGGCUAGGGAUGGGCCCGCGGCCUAUCAGCUUGUUGGUGGGGUGAUGGCCUACCAAGGCGACGACGGGUAGCCGGCCUGAGAGGGCGACCGGCCACACUGGGACUGAGACACGGCCCAGACUCCUACGGGAGGCAGCAGUGGGGAAUCUUGCGCAAUGGGCGAAAGCCUGACGCAGCGACGCCGCGUGAGGGAUGACGGCCU
Molecule: ribosomal RNA, 391 nt
Filed under: uncultured bacterium
Lineage: Bacteria
Description: bacterial SSU rRNA
Rfam family: Bacterial small subunit ribosomal RNA
Source: RNAcentral